AUUGAACGCUGGCGGCAGGCCUAACACAUGCAAGUCGAACGGUAACAGGAAACAGCUUGCUGUUUCGCUGACGAGUGGCGGACGGGUGAGUAAUGUCUGGGAAACUGCCUGAUGGAGGGGGAUAACUACUGGGAACGGUAGCUAAUACCGCAUAACGUCGCAAGACCAAAGAGGGGGACCUUCGGGCCUCUUGCCAUCGGAUGUGCCCAGAUGGGAUUAGCUUGUUGGUGGGGUAACGGCUCACCAAGGCGACGAUCCCUAGCUGGUCUGAGAGGAUGACCAGCCACACUGGAACUGAGACACGGUCCAGACUCCUACGGGAGGCAGCAGUGGGGAAUAUUGCACAAUGGGCGCAAGCCUGAUGCAGCCAUGCCGCGUGUAUGAAGAAGGCCUUCGGGUUGUAAAGUACUUUCAGCGGGGAGGAAGGGAGUAAAGUUAAUACCUUUGCUCAUUGACGUUACCCGCAGAAGAAGCACCGGCUAACUCCGUGCCAGCAGCCGCGGUAAUACGGAGGGUGCAAGCGUUAAUCGGAAUUACUGGGCG
RNAcentral lists this ribosomal RNA (543 nucleotides) under uncultured Escherichia sp. RNAcentral's name for it is "bacterial SSU rRNA". It matches the Rfam family "Bacterial small subunit ribosomal RNA", at positions 28 to 560 of the family's 1533-position model. Lineage: Bacteria; Pseudomonadati; Pseudomonadota; Gammaproteobacteria; Enterobacterales; Enterobacteriaceae. The record is from RNAcentral.